Molecule: long non-coding RNA, 1240 nt
Organism: Chinchilla lanigera (long-tailed chinchilla)
Lineage: Eukaryota; Metazoa; Chordata; Mammalia; Rodentia; Chinchillidae
Exons: 2
Source: RefSeq, a predicted model, not a curated record
CCAUUGUCCCGCCCAGGCCCGGCAGCCGCCUCGCCACCCCUCUCCGGGUGAUGGCGGCCGGGGAUCCGGGCCUGGCGGCCCACGGCCCAGACCGACCGAGCCCGCGCGGGAGCAGGCUGCCCCGGGGGGUUCUCCCCCGAAGACUGCAGGCUGGGGGACCCCCCAGAAUGGACUCUCACGCCUGAUAACAAAUGUUCGUGCUCAAAAUCCAGGCUGAGGGCCACCCAGUUUCUAGGCCCAGAUGAAUCAGAGCUUGGCCUGCCCUCAGGGAGCUCCCAGUCGCCCGAGAAGGACACACACAGAAACAUCCUCUGUAUUCCCGGAAGCGUUCCAACUCCAUAAAUACCAACUGAGACCCUGCUACGCUUCAGACACUGCUGAUUGGCUCGGAGCACUGCUAUGAACAAGUUGGACCAAGCUCCUGCCUGCCUGCAUGGAGAGUCCAGUUUAGCACAGGUUGGCAAACGCUGGGGGCAACUGGAGGACAGGACCCAGAGAAGCUGUUUGUUCUCGGGCCUCAAGUGCAGUGUCCUGCACAGGGCAGAAGCACUUUAUGUGGCAUGAGAUAGAAUUACAAGACACAAGGCCCCAAGGGAGAACACAGAGGAUAUCACUCUAGCAGGGUGGGUACGGUUUUCAGAAAGGGGCUGUGGGAUGAGGCAGGUGGGGAAGAAAGGAGGCCUUCCAGCUCCCAGAAAUGAGAGUGGUAAAAGCACCGACUCAGCCUGGAGCAGCCCCCUAACAUGAGACAUCAGUAAAUGGGGAUGAAAAGACAAACCACCUGUGCAGAAUCGGGAGUGAGUUCCCUUCUCCCCAGGCCUGGGCUGUGCCUAGUACCUCCAUCCAAAGAACAUGGCAGGCAGAAGGACUCUACAGUGGAAAAGCUGACAACUGCUGCGUCAGCCAAGAGAUCAAGGGCGUCAGUAACUGUGAAUCACGUCUGUAGUAUGCACACUUGAUAUUAUGUGAUAAAAAUGACACUUCGGGGUCUUCCUCCCAAAAACCCAUAAGCCAAGGCUUGCCGUGGGAAAAACAACAGUGGAGCACCCAACAAAAUACCGGACUGAUACUCUUCAAAACUGUCAAGAUCAUCAAAAGCAAGGAAAGUCUGAGAAACUGUCACAGCGCAGAGAAGCCCGAAGAAACCUGACCGCUGAAUGUAAGGUGGUAUCCUAGAUACAAUGCUGGAAAAGAAAAAAAGGGGGCAUUAAAAACUAAAUAAAUUGAAAUAAGCUAUAGA